UUCUGCAUCCCUCAUUAGUUUUAUUGGCUGUAACAGGUAGUAAUGUUUUAAGAUUAUUCUGGAAAUAGUUAGCCCCGCCCACUCCCAAGGCCUUGGUUGAGACUGUCCGUCGCACAGGAGAGAGUGCACAGCAAGAGGGGAGAACGGGAGAGAGAAAAAGACGAUCAGAAGUAGAAAAUCAUAAUCAUUAAUUUAAGCAGUGAACUUAAAGAGCAGCUCCUUAAAUGACCCAGGGACCAAAUAUUUUCCAGAUCGCACACUUCAUUUUCUUUCCUUGGGAUCUUGGCGAGUUUAAAUAUUAAAUUUUUACCAAAGUAUCGUAACUGUAGCAGCAACACGUGUGCUAUUAACUCCGUGUUCCUUGAAAAUAGCGUUAGCCACACGUGGCACGUAAUAUUUUUCAGUUUACACACUUCCGUUUCUUCCUUUGGGAUCUCGGUGAGUUUAUAUUUUAAAUUUAGCUAAAGUAUCGCCAUUGUAGCAGCCACACGUGUGUUAUUAAGUCCGCGUUUCCUUGAAAAUGGCAUUAGCCACACGUGGCUGGGUUUUUUGGAUACCCUAGAAGAAACCUGUGAACCUAGGAUUCUCUCCCUGACGAGGGAGAUGGCGAGCCGACCAACUUGGUUCAUCUUCAUCCACUUGAGGAAGGACCCCCUGAUACCCCUUGUUUCUCCCAGCCCCACUCUGGUGUGGUAGGAUUGUGAUUGAGAAAUUACAUAAUUUUAUUUGAUACUUUAUUUUUUUUUAAAAACGGUGCACCCAACCAACAAAACUGACUUGAAACCAACUAAAUUGAACUAAACCAGACUGAACAGAAGACAUUCAGAACUUAAUGGACAGUGAAUACAGUUACAACACUCAGGGCAUUGAUAUGAAGACAAAUGAAUGUGGUUAAAUGUGAUAAGUAAAUGCUGGCUUUACAUGUUAUCAUCACACUUUCUUUAAUACAGUUUUAACCAUUUUGCACUUA
Molecule: long non-coding RNA, 970 nt
Organism: Anguilla rostrata (American eel)
Lineage: Eukaryota; Metazoa; Chordata; Actinopteri; Anguilliformes; Anguillidae
Exons: 2
Source: RefSeq, a predicted model, not a curated record